RNAcentral lists this long non-coding RNA (1226 nucleotides) under Chrysemys picta bellii (western painted turtle). RNAcentral describes it as "lncRNA (ENSCPBG00000010320.1)". Lineage: Eukaryota; Metazoa; Chordata; Testudines; Emydidae. The record is from RNAcentral.
AUGUGUUCUUGGAAGGAAGCGCCCAGCGACGCGCAGUGCAUCUGUCCUUGGAUGCAUCAGGCAGAUGCGACAGUGAUGCCACAGAGCUUUGCCACCCCCGUACAUACGACUGUGUUCCCCAGCAGUGUAAGUUCCUUCGACAUCCCCAUGGCGCAUAAGGCUCAAAGCAUCCUGCUCCCCAAACGCUUCCAUUUCUCCUUCCCAAUUCCCAAUCUCUUCCCCACUCUAGGCCUGUCUUCCCCCAACACUGUGCCUCCCUGUUCAACUGCCUUCCUGCGGGAGGGAACAGGAGGAGGUUCAGGGUCUGGUGCGGCUGUGCAGGACCCCGAGCUCUGUCACCUCUCUGCAGCUGGCUCAGCCCCAGGCCUGCCCCGCCAGGCUCCUCUGCUCUGCAAUCCCAGCCUGGGGGGACAGGCCGGCCUGCAGCUCAGCUGGUCCAGCAAGUCUGGGCUGUUGCUCUCCCUACCCCUCCCUGCUGCCACCUGGCUGCGCCCACUGGCUCUGGCUCUCUGUGGGGCGACUGCUCCUGUGGUGGUUCUGGAUGGCUCACGACUGCCAACCUCAAGAGACCAAAACUGAGCUGGGCUGCUGCCUGGGCUGUCGCUGCCUGCGGAUAAGACUCGUGUCUCCGGGGCUGUAGAGCCAGCACCGUUUAUCACUGACAAAUCCAAGCGAGUGCUAGUGGAAACGCACCUUCCUGUGGCUGUGACAGGGAAGAGGAGGCCAGUGAGUCGCUCCAACAACCCUCCUCUGACCUUCCGGGGCAGGGAAUGGAGCCGAGAGAAAGUUCACAGGAACUGCUGUCCAGGAAAGCGUCCUGCCCACUCCCUCAGGCUGCGUGGCCUCACCUGAUCUUUCUUCAGUCUUGUUCCUGACGCUGCACACAGGGCCUCUCGCGCAGGGCAGGGAUCUCAGAGCUGCGUGGAGUUGGGAUAGCGCCAAACUUGUGUCGUUUUUAUUUAUUUCAGUGCAUCUUCCGAGUCUCUUCUGCUCCCCAGCCACGUGCACCACCAGCUGCAUUCAUCCCUCCUCUCUCUGCCCCCACCUUCUCUGCCAGCCCUUCUCCUGCCCCUCCUUUUCCUCCCCUCAGCUCUGGCAGCCCAACCGAGCCUAUGUAUUUUUAAAACACCACUUACCCGGGGGAGGGCUGGUGCCAAGUUGUUUUCCUGCUUGUGUUGGCAUUAGACAGCAAUAAAGGCAGGAAUGUAUGGAGCGAAGAGAGCUGC